Long non-coding RNA from Ictalurus punctatus (channel catfish), 340 nucleotides. NCBI's taxonomy places the organism in Eukaryota, Metazoa, Chordata, Actinopteri, Siluriformes, Ictaluridae. The record is from Ensembl.
GGAUGACGUCAUUUCGUACCGGAACCCGGAAGUUAGCACACUGGUUUCCUCGCCAACCCUCCUCCCCAAAAAAGCUCUGUGCCGCAAAAUUUGUGCAACAGAAUCCACAUUGCCUGUCUGGUCUACUUUCCUGACGUAGGUCCAGAAACCUGUUUUGAUUUGAUGGUUUUGGCGUCAGUGAGACGGCGGUCUGUUUCAGGUGACGGUGUAAAGUCUGCUGAACAGACACGUCUGGAAAUAAAGAGAUCUAUUCAGCGCUUAAUGGCAGCCUAUAGGGCAGUGCACCAUGUGUUCUCGAGUGGAAGAGCACCCUAGAGGGUACUUCAUCAUGCUUCCUAUC